CGCGGCCUAUCAGCUUGUUGGUGGGGUGAUGGCCUACCAAGGCGACGACGGGUAGCCGGCCUGAGAGGGCGACCGGCCACACUGGGACUGAGACACGGCCCAGACUCCUACGGGAGGCAGCAGUGGGGAAUAUUGCACAAUGGGCGGAAGCCUGAUGCAGCGACGCCGCGUGAGGGAUGACGGCCUUCGGGUUGUAAACCUCUUUCAGCAGGGACGAAGCGUAAGUGACGGUACCUGCAGAAGAAGCGCCGGCCAACUACGUGCCAGCAGCCGCGGUAAGACGUAGGGCGCGAGCGUUGUCCGGAUUUAUUGGGCGUAAAGAGCUCGUAGGCGGCUUGUCGCGUCGACUGUGAAAACCCGCAGCUCAACUGCGGGCCUGCAGUCGAUACGGGCAGGCUAGAGUUCGGUAGGGGAGACUGGAAUUCCUGGUGUAGCGGUGAAAUGCGCAGAUAUCAGGAGGAACACCGGUGGCGAAGGCGGGUCUCUGGGCCGAUACUGACGCUGAGGAGCGAAAGCGUGGGGAGCGAACAGGAUUAGAUACCCUGGUAGUCCACGCUGUAAACGUUGGGCGCUAGGUGUGGGGGGCCUCUCCGGUUCCCUGUGCCGCAGCUAACGCAUUAAGCGCCCCGCCUGGGGAGUACGGA
RNAcentral lists this ribosomal RNA (644 nucleotides) under uncultured Micromonospora sp. RNAcentral describes it as "bacterial SSU rRNA". It matches the Rfam family "Bacterial small subunit ribosomal RNA", at positions 232 to 886 of the family's 1533-position model. The record is from RNAcentral. Lineage: Bacteria; Bacillati; Actinomycetota; Actinomycetes; Micromonosporales; Micromonosporaceae.